Erpetoichthys calabaricus (reedfish) is the source of this 1182-nucleotide long non-coding RNA. RefSeq lists it as uncharacterized. The record is from RefSeq and is a predicted model, not a curated record. The transcript has 5 exons. Lineage: Eukaryota; Metazoa; Chordata; Cladistia; Polypteriformes; Polypteridae.
UGCAGACAUUUGACAAAAGAAGGUUAAGUGGGAGCUGGGUGUCGAAUACUGCUGUUUUUGACUUGAAAAUGUGACGCCCCUGAGUUUAUGUAUUGAAGACCAAAGGAGACCGUAGCGGCGAUGACUGUUUCAAAAUGCGGUUUAACAUUACGACAGAAAGUUGAAUAAAUCGAGGGUGUGAAGCGACUGGCAGUUAAGUUUUAAUUUGCUUUCGGGGCCGCAGUCGGAAGCUACUAUAAACAACGGAUUUCAAAAUGAUUUUUACUGGUGCAUACGGCAUCCUUUCUACGUAUUCAUGUCGCUUCGUUUUUCAGGUUAGAUAUGUUGGGAGAAUCAAACUGGAUUCCUACCUUUCUUUUUUCUGAUAUCUGUCCAGUGCUACUCAUCACAACAUAAUUAGCAAGAAGAAUGUAUUCAGGGAGACUGGUCUUUUAUCCCAUGACUCAACACUUCUAUAACAAGAUCAAAGAGAUAAGCAGUGUCUUGAAGAUUGACUGACACAACGCAACAUCAUGAAUUCUCUUGUAAGGAUGAAGUAUAUUCUACCUGCUGUUAUAUACAGCACAAACAAAACAGAACAAAAGCAACAGACCUGUUCAAGUCUUGGGAAAGAUACAGCCACAAGAAUGCAUCCAUUUUCACCAGAUGCAUCUGACACUGCAUCCUCUGAGGAUGGCAUAUUUACUGCCUCCACACCCCCUGUAGCAUUCAGAAGCCUUUUGUACCCAGUACCGCUGAUAACGUACCCAGGGGAUGAGCCAGCAGAUGAGGAGACAACCCACAAAGCAAAGGGGUAGGUGCAAACGUGCUCCAGUGCUUUUAUUAAAAACAGUCAAAACAAACGGUGUUCAAAACAAAGUGCAGUGCAAAAAUGCAGUAAAUAAAUAAUCCAUAAAAUCAUGGUGCUGGUGGAAGUUAAGAGUAAUCCAAUAAAUAAUCCUAUAAAAGUGGUGCUUAAAAACACAAGCAGGGAACUGUCUUUUAAAAUCAAGUCCCUGGUUCUUCCCUUUCAAAAUGUACAUUUCUCUGGCUUAUCCUAUUAGGAUCUUGCAGCCCAGAGAGAUGUCAAACCAACAGGAGCAGAAAACCUUUUAAUCCUGCUUGUGUCCCCGCCACCAACCCCACAGCGUUUCACAGGGAGCCAUUCAGCCCUGCUCUGCUCACACCACUGCCGAUAUCUAC